RNAcentral lists this ribosomal RNA (497 nucleotides) under uncultured bacterium. RNAcentral describes it as "partial 16S ribosomal RNA". It matches the Rfam family "Bacterial small subunit ribosomal RNA", at positions 28 to 507 of the family's 1533-position model. The record is from RNAcentral.
GAUGAACGCUGGCGGCGUGCCUAAUACAUGCAAGUCGAGCGAACAGAUGAGGAGCUUGCUCCUCUGACGUUAGCGGCGGACGGGUGAGUAACACGUGGAUAACCUACCUAUAAGACUGGGAUAACUUCGGGAAACCGGAGCUAAUACCGGAUAAUAUAUUGAACCGCAUGGUUCAAUAGUGAAAGACGGUUUUGCUGUCACUUAUAGGUGGAUCCGCGCCGCAUUAGCUAGUUGGUAAGGUAACGGCUUACCAAGGCGACGAUGCGUAGCCGACCUGAGAGGGUGAUCGGCCACACUGGAACUGAGACACGGUCCAGACUCCUACGGGAGGCAGCAGUAGGGAAUCUUCCGCAAUGGGCGAAAGCCUGACGGAGCAACGCCGCGUGAGUGAUGAAGGUCUUCGGAUCGUAAAACUCUGUUAUUAGGGAAGAACAAAUGUGUAAGUAACUAUGCACGUCUUGACGGUACCUAAUCAGAAAGCCACGGCUAACUACGUG